AUUGAACGCUGGCGGCAUGCCUUACACAUGCAAGUCGAACGGUAACAGGUCUUCGGAUGCUGACGAGUGGCGAACGGGUGCGUAAUACAUCGGAACGUGCCCGAUCGUGGGGGAUAACGGAGCGAAAGCUUUGCUAAUACCUCAUACGAUCUACGGAUGAAAGCAGGGGACCGCAAGGCCUUGCGCGGGCGGAGCGGCCGAUGGCAGAUUAGGUAGUUGGUGGGAUAAAAGCUUACCAAGCCGACGAUCUGUAGCUGGUCUGAGAGGACGACCAGCCACACUGGGACUGAGACACGGCCCAGACUCCUACGGGAGGCAGCAGUGGGGAAUUUUGGACAAUGGGCGAAAGCCUGAUCCAGCCAUGCCGCGUGCAGGAUGAAGGCCUUCGGGUUGUAAACUGCUUUUGUACGGAACGAAAAGACUCUUUCUAAUAAAGAGGGUCCAUGACGGUACCGUAAGAAUAAGCACCGGCUAACUACGUG
RNAcentral lists this ribosomal RNA (482 nucleotides) under uncultured bacterium. Its description in RNAcentral is "partial 16S ribosomal RNA". It matches the Rfam family "Bacterial small subunit ribosomal RNA", at positions 30 to 507 of the family's 1533-position model. The record is from RNAcentral.